Ixodes scapularis (black-legged tick) is the source of this 468-nucleotide long non-coding RNA. RefSeq lists it as uncharacterized. Lineage: Eukaryota; Metazoa; Arthropoda; Arachnida; Ixodida; Ixodidae. The transcript has 3 exons. The record is from RefSeq and is a predicted model, not a curated record.
UUCCCCCGACAUGUUGGCCCGGGUGCUUUGUCAUUCAAUUUGGCUGUUCUAAACGCUAGGCAGUUCCUUUCUGCUCCUGUGCAGAAGACAGUUCGCACCGCGCGCCGGUCUCUGCUUCAUUCGGCUGCAACAGUCGUAUCGACUGUGGAAAGUCUGAAGCCGGGAGCAACUGGCUGCCCGCUACGCUUAUGGUCUUGACCUCUCCCCUGUCAUCCCUCAGCCGUUGAGGCCAUUCGAAGGCUUUUGACUGUCAAUCUCUCUUGCAUUGUCCCGGACCAAUUGCAGCGAAUCCGCACAUUGCUACUUCAUAGAACGGACCGCCCACCAGUCAAGCCAACUUCCGGCGGCUUGAUUUUUCACAUAGAUACGACAUACUUGGAUUAGAUUGGAUGUUGCCGUGCUUUGGCCAGUUGUGUCCAGUAUAUUGUCCGUUUUCCCCACCCCAAAUAGCUGACCCACCUGAUCCAA